This 468-nucleotide ribosomal RNA is filed under the name uncultured bacterium. RNAcentral describes it as "partial 16S ribosomal RNA". It matches the Rfam family "Bacterial small subunit ribosomal RNA", at positions 28 to 507 of the family's 1533-position model. The record is from RNAcentral.
GACGAACGCUGGCGGCGUGCUUAACACAUGCAAGUCGAACGGUGAAGCUCCAGCUUGCUGGAGUGGAUCAGUGGCGAACGGGUGAGUAACACGUGAGCAACCUGCUCCAGACUCUGGAAUAAGCGCUGGAAACGGCGUCUAAUACUGGAUACGAGAUCAAGCCGCAUGGUUAUGGUCUGGAAAGUUUUUCGGUUUGGGAUGGGCUCGCGGCCUAUCAGCUUGUUGGUGAGGUAAUGGCUCACCAAGGCGACGACGGGUAGCCGGCCUGAGAGGGCGACCGGCCACACUGGGACUGAGACACGGCCCAGACUCCUACGGGAGGCAGCAGUGGGGAAUAUUGCACAAUGGGCGAAAGCCUGAUGCAGCGACGCCGCGUGAGGGAUGACGGCCUUCGGGUUGUAAACCUCUUUCAGCAGGGAAGAAGCGAAAGUGACGGUACCUGCAGAAGAAGCACCGGCUAACUACGUG